UACAGAGGUCCCAAGCGUUGUUCGGAUUCAUUGGGCGUAAAGGGUGUGUAGGUGGCGCCGUAAGUCGGGUGUGAAAUUUCGGAGCUUAACUCCGAAACUGCAUUCGAUACUGCGGUGCUUGAGGACUGGAGAGGAGACUGGAAUUCAUGGUGUAGCAGUGAAAUGCGCAGAUAUCAGGAGGAACACCGGUGGCGAAGGCGGGUCUCUGGGCCGAUAUUGACGCUGAGGAGCGAAAGCGUGGGGAGCAAACAGG
Molecule: ribosomal RNA, 253 nt
Filed under: uncultured bacterium
Lineage: Bacteria
Description: partial 16S ribosomal RNA
Rfam family: Bacterial small subunit ribosomal RNA
Source: RNAcentral